RNAcentral lists this ribosomal RNA (491 nucleotides) under uncultured bacterium. Its description in RNAcentral is "partial 16S ribosomal RNA". It matches the Rfam family "Bacterial small subunit ribosomal RNA", at positions 29 to 506 of the family's 1533-position model. The record is from RNAcentral.
AGUGAACGCUGGCGGUAGGCCUAACACAUGCAAGUCGAACGGCAGCACAGUAAGAGCUUGCUCUUACGGGUGGCGAGUGGCGGACGGGUGAGGAAUACAUCGGAAUCUACUUUUUCGUGGGGGAUAACGUAGGGAAACUUACGCUAAUACCGCAUACGACCUACGGGUGAACGCAGGGGAUCUUCGGACCUUGCGCGAUUGAAUGAGCCGAUGUCGGAUUAGCUAGUUGGCGGGGUAAAGGCCCACCAAGGCGACGAUCCGUAGCUGGUCUGAGAGGAUGAUCAGCCACACUGGAACGGAGACACGGUCCAGACUCCUACGGGAGGCAGCAGUGGGGAAUAUUGGACAAUGGGCGCAAGCCUGAGCCAGCCAUACCGCGUGGGUGAAGAAGGCCUUCGGGUUGUAAAGCCCUUUUGUUGGGAAAGAAAAGCAGCAGGUUAAUACCCCGCUGUUCUGACGUUACCCAAAGAAUAAGCACCGGCGAACUUCGU